RNAcentral lists this ribosomal RNA (678 nucleotides) under uncultured bacterium. RNAcentral describes it as "bacterial SSU rRNA". It matches the Rfam family "Bacterial small subunit ribosomal RNA", at positions 801 to 1491 of the family's 1533-position model. The record is from RNAcentral.
UGCGUACGAGGAUCUCGUUGUCGGCGAUAUACAGUCGGUAGCCAAGCGAAAGCAUUAAGUAUCCCACCUGGGGAGUACGCCGGCAACGGUGAAACUCCAAGGAAUUGACGGGGGCCCGCACAAGCGGAGGAACAUGUGGUUUAAUUCGAUGAUACGCGAGGAACCUUACCCGGGCUUGAAUUGCUGAGCGCGGCAUUUGCAGACAGAUGCUUCCCUUCGGGGGUUCAGUGAAGGUGCUGCAUGGUUGUCGUCAGCUCGUGCCGUAAGGCGUCCGCUUAAGUGCCAUAACGAGCGCAACCCUUGCCGUUAGUUGCCAUCAGGUUAAGCUGGGCACUCUAGUGGGACUGCCAUCGUAAGAUGCGAGGAAGGUGGGGAUGACGUCAAAUCAGCACGGCCCUUAUGUCCGGGGCGACACACGUGUUACAAUGGUAGGUACAGCGGGAAGCUACCUGGCGACAUGAUGCAGAUCCCGAAAUCCUAUCUCAGUUCGGAUUGGAGUCUGGAACUCGACUCCAUGAAGCUGGAUUCGCUAGUAAUCGCGCAUCAGCCAUGGCGCGGUGAAUACGUUCCCGGGCCUUGUACACACCGCCCGUCAAGCCAUGAAAGCCGGAGGCGCCUGAAGCCCGUAACCGUCAGGAUCGGUCUAGGGCGAAUCUGGUAAUUGGGGCUAAGUCGUAA